RNAcentral lists this ribosomal RNA (254 nucleotides) under uncultured bacterium. RNAcentral's name for it is "partial 16S ribosomal RNA". It matches the Rfam family "Bacterial small subunit ribosomal RNA", at positions 524 to 776 of the family's 1533-position model. The record is from RNAcentral.
GACGUAGGGCGCGAGCGUUGUCCGGAUUUAUUGGGCGUAAAGAGCUCGUAGGCGGUUCCGUGAGUCGGCUGUGAAAUCUCCACGCUCAACGUGGAGGGGUCAGUCGAUACUGCGGUGACUCGAGUCCGGUAGGGGAGUGUGGAAUUCCCGGUGUAGCGGUGAAAUGCGCAGAGAUCGGGAGGAACACCCGUAGCGAAGGCGGCACUCUGGGCCGGUACUGACGCUGAGGAGCGAAAGCGUGGGGAGCAAACAGG